This 76-nucleotide transfer RNA is filed under the name Rickettsia sp. Its description in RNAcentral is "tRNA-Ala". It matches the Rfam family "tRNA". From Rfam's summary of the family: Transfer RNA (tRNA) molecules are approximately 80 nucleotides in length. Their secondary structure includes four short double-helical elements and three loops (D, anti-codon, and T loops). Lineage: Bacteria; Pseudomonadati; Pseudomonadota; Alphaproteobacteria; Rickettsiales; Rickettsiaceae. The record is from RNAcentral. RNAcentral also lists the same sequence under 16 other names.
GGGGUCAUAGCUCAGUUGGUAGAGUGCUUGAAUGGCAUUCAAGAGGUCGAGGGUUCGAUUCCCUCUGGCUCCACCA